CCAUCGCCCCACAGCCACACGCUCCCCUACAGACGUCCUGACAGCACAGCCCUCACCAUGGACUGGAGAUGGACAGUCCUCUUCCUGGUGGCAGUGGCGACAGGUGUCCACUCCGAGGUCCAGCUGGUGCAGCCUGGGGCUGAGGUGAGGAAGCCUGGGGCCUCCGUGAAGGUGUCCUGCAAGGCUUCCGGAUACACCUUCACCAGCUAUGCUAUGCACUGGGUGCGACAGGCCCCAGGACAAGGGCUUCAGUAUAUUGGAUGGAUCAACACAAAUACAGGAAACCCAACAUACGCCCAAGGAUUCUCAGAUAGAUUUGUGUUCUCCAUGGACACCUCUGUCAGCACGGCCUAUCUGCAGAUAAACAGCCUGAAGUCUGAGGACACGGCUGUGUAUUACUGUGCGAAGGACACAGUGAGACGACCCACAUCCUGA
Non-coding RNA from Rhinolophus ferrumequinum (greater horseshoe bat), 435 nucleotides. Lineage: Eukaryota; Metazoa; Chordata; Mammalia; Chiroptera; Rhinolophidae. The record is from the annotation of a RefSeq genome assembly.